GGGAGCACAAAGCCUGGGUAAGAUGCCCUCCAUCCUAUGGCUCCCCAAAUAAGAAACAGGAUUACCUCGUCACUUUCUGGUCUGUGGUCUGCCCCAAAGACCAGGAGCUACCUCCAGAUACCACUGACUUGGGAUUAAGUUUCCAAUGCAUUUUCCUCUGGGAUGGCGAGACAUUCAGACCACAGUCAUCUCCUUCUGUCACUGCAUGGAAUGAAAAGGCUUCAUUUUGCAGACAUGGAAGAGAAUAGAACAAGAGAUUCCACAGAUCAACACAGGGUGGUGUCAACAAGAGACAUCAAUGAGGCAUAGAACCCGGGUUGCUGCUGGACACAGCUACUUGCCAGCUCUGCUAACUCUAGCUCUCAGGCUGUGCUAGCCAUUGGCUUUCCCUACCAGAGGGAGGUUCUAAUGGGCAGACACAGUCACAGCAUUAGUGGGUGCUCACCAUGAGAGGUCAAGACAACUGUGUGAGUUGGUCUGAAGCAGAGUCCUCUUCCCCGAGCAUGAAGACCAAGAAAGGUGAUCAUAGAACUGGUUCAGUGGGUGCCCUGUGAAUCCAGAAGAAAGCAUCAGAUCUCCCUGGAACUGGAAGCACUGAUGGUGUGAGUCACCAUGUGGGUCCUGGGAACCAACCAAGGCCCUCUGCAAAAGCCACACAUGCUCUUAGCUAUAGAGCCAUCUCGCCAGCUCCAUCUUUAAUUCUCUUGGCACUGAAAAUUUUUACUCCAAGAAAAUCUCACCUAAGCGUCCAUCAAAACCAAAGAAAAAUCAGCAAUCUCAGGAUAUUUGAUAUGUGACCUCUGUGGAAGGGUCAUCAAACUCAAAGGAGUCAUGACCCUCAGGUUGAGAACUGCUGUCCCAGUGCGACUAGGCAGCUCGUCCCAAUAGGCCAGAGUGUUUCCGGGAUGGUGGCUGCUUGAUCAACCAGGCCCUGGAAGGAGGAACGACCAGAAGAGAGCCCUGACUCAGUCUGGAAUUGAUCACACUUGGAUUGAAUAAGGCCACUGAGGUGUUGGGAUUGCAUGCUGUUACUACCGCAUAACCCACUCAGCCUUGACCGAGCCCAGGUCUCCAGAAUUCCCAUGUGGCCUAAGCUGAGGUGUUUUCCUAGAUGUCAUUCCUGCCCAUACUGUAGAUGGUGUGCUGGGUUUGGGAAGUCUUCUGCCUUUCACAUGGAUCUGAGGACCAGUUCUGAGCUGCCUCAUACAGGAGACUACAGUGAGCUGAAUGGUACCCUUCAGAAAGGCCUGGACUGUGACAUUACUGGGGGUUUGAAGAGGUCUUUGUAAAUGUAGUUAAGGCUCUGAAGCAGAUCAGCCUGAAUUAGCAAUGUGGGCCUCAGUGGCCCAGUGGCAGGUGUGAAGCAGGGAGGCCAGGGUUUAACUUAAUGGUGGAGCAGUUAAGUUUGUUUUUUAAGUUCCUAUUGAAGUUGCAACAUUGCUUAAUAAACAAGGUACUG
Molecule: long non-coding RNA, 1459 nt
Filed under: Mus pahari (shrew mouse)
Lineage: Eukaryota; Metazoa; Chordata; Mammalia; Rodentia; Muridae
Description: lncRNA (MGP_PahariEiJ_G0006148.1)
Source: RNAcentral